UAAUCACAGCAUCAAAAUCAAAAGAAAUCUGAGAGUCAUUACAUGGCUGAACGUUGCAUUUAAUUGUUCCCUUAUUGCAGAGGGAUGACAUGGAGUUCAGUCCUCGGAUUUGUAACAAAGAAUUUCGGGUACGAGGCAAACCCAAUUUUCUGGCAAGUUUGGCGGUGACAAAAUUAGACAUACUGCCUGAAUCAAUUAGUGCACGAACAAGGUGUAAUCUGUCAAAUUGAUCCUUGACGUACAUGAAAGCGAUCGGUAAAAUUACUUGGUGGUUUAAGUCAUUGUUCGGUUGAUUAACAUGACAAGCCGUAGUUCCGACGGGGACUGGUGAUGGUUUACUUGAUUCGAAAUGCAGAGAGGUAUGAUGUUUUUGCUGGCAAACUUUGCAACGAUGCGUCGAUACACAGUUACUGGUCUGGUGAGAUUUAUUAAGACAGUUACGACAUAGGUUGUUGUCUCUGGCAAUUGAUAAUCGUUCUGCUGGCGAUUUAGCAUGGAAUGUCGAACAACGAUAUAACUGAUGAGGUUGAGAACAUAAUAAACAUUUAAGCCUUGAAGGGGUUUCUUCAAUUUUAAGGCUUAUGGACGGCUUACUACGAAGAUUAUGAUGGAUUUUGGAUUGAUUAGACGUUUUCUCAUUUGAGCGACAUUAAGCUUCAAAAGAAGAAUGUUGAACAAGAGAAAAUCCCAUUCAUCAACCGGAAAACCCAGCGCACGAAAACCCUCGACGUUUUCCUUGAACGUAUCGAUGAGAAAUCUUAUUGAUUUUGAUGAUUCAUCACGAAUAGCCUUUAGGUUAAAAAUCUCAUUAAAAUACAGCGUUGCUAAAUGACGUUUAUUGUGAUACCUUUCCUUUAAGGUGUUAUAUGCAAUCGAGUAGUUUUCGUUGGUGACAGGAAGGCCCUUUAGUAGAUUGAAAGGUUCCCCUUUUAAAGAGGGUUCGGAAUAAAUCACAGAAGGUCGGCCAAUCUUUAUGAUUUCCAUCAAAAAUUGGAAUAGAAAUUUUAUUUAAUUUGGGCGACGAUGAUGAUGGAACUACUGUAGAAGGUGCGUUGGAGCUUGGCUGAAGUUGAUGAAAGAUAGCCUUAACUGUAAAAUAAGCCAAAUCAACCUCUCGGCGAAUAUCGUCAUAGGAAUCGAAGUUCGUGUCAUCGAUGAGUCCGAUGAUCUGAUUAUGUAUCGCCUUAAAUUCUUUGUAAGUAUCAUCAGCAUGUUUGGAUUGUUCCAGAAAUAUUAAGCGUUCGGUUUGAUCAUCAGCGAUACUGCGACCACUAUCUCGUGCUUCAUAAAGACGAUUUUGAAGGACGUUUCGACGUAGCGUUAGUUUCGCAAGCUUCUCCAU
This is a long non-coding RNA of Onthophagus taurus, 1342 nucleotides long. RefSeq lists it as uncharacterized. NCBI's taxonomy places the organism in Eukaryota, Metazoa, Arthropoda, Insecta, Coleoptera, Scarabaeidae. The record is from RefSeq and is a predicted model, not a curated record.